CAAAAAACGUUGACGAGGACAAAUGGUUAAGACCAGAUACUUACAGAGAGUCGGGAUCGCUGAAAACCGAUAGUAUCCCUUACCAUUACUCACCUCUAAGUGCUAAUCUGAACGGUUACAAGUAGGAAUAGCCGAGUGUUUACUUUAACACUCGUUAUCAAAAGCAACGCUAGUAAAAAGGGAAAAAGGAGUUUAGUCAAACUACUAACCUUUCACUUUAUUAAACUAGUCGCUGUAAAAGGUGUUAUUCGUAAGGAUAACAUAAAGUUGGGUGGUACCAUGGAAAGAAGUCUUUUCAUCCCUUCA
RNAcentral lists this non-coding RNA (306 nucleotides) under Bacillus sp. (in: firmicutes). RNAcentral's name for it is "Bacillus sp. T-box sequence". It matches the Rfam family "T-box leader". Rfam says of the family: Uncharged tRNA acts as the effector for transcription antitermination of genes in the T-box leader family. T-boxes are found upstream of many aminoacyl-tRNA synthetase genes and some amino acid biosynthetic genes usually in Gram-positive bacteria. Lineage: Bacteria; Bacillati; Bacillota; Bacilli; Caryophanales; Bacillaceae. The record is from RNAcentral.